Phrynosoma platyrhinos (Desert horned lizard) is the source of this 72-nucleotide non-coding RNA. Lineage: Eukaryota; Metazoa; Chordata; Lepidosauria; Squamata; Phrynosomatidae. The record is from the annotation of a GenBank genome assembly.
ACCAGUGUAGCCUAGUGGUUUGAGAGUUGGACUAUAACUCUGGAGACCUAGGUCUGAUUCCUAGCAUGGCCA